GGGUUGUGAGGUUAAGCGACUAAGCGUACACGGUGGAUGCCCUGGCAGUCAGAGGCGAUGAAGGACGUGCUAAUCUGCGAUAAGCGUCGGUAAGGUGAUAUGAACCGUUAUAACCGGCGAUUUCCGAAUGGGGAAACCCAGUGUGAUUCGUCACACUAUCAUUAACUGAAUCCAUAGGUUAAUGAGGCGAACCGGGGGAACUGAAACAUCUAAGUACCCCGAGGAAAAGAAAUCAACCGAGAUUCCCCCAGUAGCGGCGAGCGAACGGGGAGCAGCCCAGAGCCUGAAUCAGUGUGUGUGUUAGUGGAAGCGUCUGGAAAGGCGCGCGAUACAGGGUGACAGCCCCGUACACAAAAAUGCACAUGCUGUGAGCUCGAUGAGUAGGGCGGGACACGUGGUAUCCUGUCUGAAUAUGGGGGGACCAUCCUCCAAGGCUAAAUACUCCUGACUGACCGAUAGUGAACCAGUACCGUGAGGGAAAGGCGAAAAGAACCCCGGCGAGGGGAGUGAAAAAGAACCUGAAACCGUGUACGUACAAGCAGUGGGAGCACGCUUCGGCGUGUGACUGCGUACCUUUUGUAUAAUGGGUCAGCGACUUAUAUUCUGUAGCAAGGUUAACCGAAUAGGGGAGCCGAAGGGAAACCGAGUCUUAACUGGGCGUUAAGUUGCAGGGUAUAGACCCGAAACCCGGUGAUCUAGCCAUGGGCAGGUUGAAGGUUGGGUAACACUAACUGGAGGACCGAACCGACUAAUGUUGAAAAAUUAGCGGAUGACUUGUGGCUGGGGGUGAAAGGCCAAUCAAACCGGGAGAUAGCUGGUUCUCCCCGAAAGCUAUUUAGGUAGCGCCUCGUGAAUUCAUCUCCGGGGGUAGAGCACUGUUUCGGCAAGGGGGUCAUCCCGACUUACCAACCCGAUGCAAACUGCGAAUACCGGAGAAUGUUAUCACGGGAGACACACGGCGGGUGCUAACGUCCGUCGUGAAGAGGGAAACAACCCAGACCGCCAGCUAAGGUCCCAAAGUCAUGGUUAAGUGGGAAACGAUGUGGGAAGGCCCAGACAGCCAGGAUGUUGGCUUAGAAGCAGCCAUCAUUUAAAGAAAGCGUAAUAGCUCACUGGUCGAGUCGGCCUGCGCGGAAGAUGUAACGGGGCUAAACCAUGCACCGAAGCUGCGGCAGCGACGCUUAUGCGUUGUUGGGUAGGGGAGCGUUCUGUAAGCCUGUGAAGGUGUGCUGUGAGGCAUGCUGGAGGUAUCAGAAGUGCGAAUGCUGACAUAAGUAACGAUAAAGCGGGUGAAAAGCCCGCUCGCCGGAAGACCAAGGGUUCCUGUCCAACGUUAAUCGGGGCAGGGUGAGUCGACCCCUAAGGCGAGGCCGAAAGGCGUAGUCGAUGGGAAACAGGUUAAUAUUCCUGUACUUGGUGUUACUGCGAAGGGGGGACGGAGAAGGCUAUGUUGGCCGGGCGACGGUUGUCCCGGUUUAAGCGUGUAGGCUGGUUUUCCAGGCAAAUCCGGAAAAUCAAGGCUGAGGCGUGAUGACGAGGCACUACGGUGCUGAAGCAACAAAUGCCCUGCUUCCAGGAAAAGCCUCUAAGCAUCAGGUAACAUCAAAUCGUACCCCAAACCGACACAGGUGGUCAGGUAGAGAAUACCAAGGCGCUUGAGAGAACUCGGGUGAAGGAACUAGGCAAAAUGGUGCCGUAACUUCGNNNNNGCCCGGUGCCGGAAGGUUAAUUGAUGGGGUCAGCGAAAGCGAAGCUCUUGAUCGAAGCCCCGGUAAACGGCGGCCGUAACUAUAACGGUCCUAAGGUAGCGAAAUUCCUUGUCGGGUAAGUUCCGACCUGCACGAAUGGCGUAAUGAUGGCCAGGCUGUCUCCACCCGAGACUCAGUGAAAUUGAACUCGCUGUGAAGAUGCAGUGUACCCGCGGCAAGACGGAAAGACCCCGUGAACCUUUACUAUAGCUUGACACUGAACAUUGAGCCUUGAUGUGUAGGAUAGGUGGGAGGCUUUGAAGUGUGGACGCCAGUCUGCAUGGAGCCGACCUUGAAAUACCACCCUUUAAUGUUUGAUGUUCUAACGUUGACCCGUAAUCCGGGUUGCGGACAGUGUCUGGUGGGUAGUUUGACUGGGGCGGUCUCCUCCUAAAGAGUAACGGAGGAGCACGAAGGUUGGCUAAUCCUGGUCGGACAUCAGGAGGUUAGUGCAAUGGCAUAAGCCAGCUUGACUGCGAGCGUGACGGCGCGAGCAGGUGCGAAAGCAGGUCAUAGUGAUCCGGUGGUUCUGAAUGGAAGGGCCAUCGCUCAACGGAUAAAAGGUACUCCGGGGAUAACAGGCUGAUACCGCCCAAGAGUUCAUAUCGACGGCGGUGUUUGGCACCUCGAUGUCGGCUCAUCACAUCCUGGGGCUGAAGUAGGUCCCAAGGGUAUGGCUGUUCGCCAUUUAAAGUGGUACGCGAGCUGGGUUUAGAACGUCGUGAGACAGUUCGGUCCCUAUCUGCCGUGGGCGCUGGAGAACUGAGGGGGGCUGCUCCUAGUACGAGAGGACCGGAGUGGACGCAUCACUGGUGUUCGGGUUGUCAUGCCAAUGGCACUGCCCGGUAGCUAAAUGCGGAAGAGAUAAGUGCUGAAAGCAUCUAAGCACGAAACUUGCCCCGAGAUGAGUUCUCCCUGAC
This 2668-nucleotide ribosomal RNA is filed under the name Escherichia coli. RNAcentral describes it as "bacterial LSU rRNA". It matches the Rfam family "Bacterial large subunit ribosomal RNA". Lineage: Bacteria; Pseudomonadati; Pseudomonadota; Gammaproteobacteria; Enterobacterales; Enterobacteriaceae. The record is from RNAcentral.